GGACCUACGGGAGGCAGCAGUAGGGAAUUUUCGUCAAUGGGCGCAAGCCUGAACGAGCAAUGCCGCGUGAACGAGGAAGGUCUUCGGAUCGUAUAGAUCUGUUGAAGGGGAAAAAGAGCGGAGAGAGGAAAUGCACUCCGAUUGAUAUUACCCUUCGAGGAAGUCACGGCUAACUACGUGCCAGCAGCCGCGGUAAUACGUAGGUGGCGAGCGCUAUCCGGAUUGAUUGGGCGUAAAGGGUGCGUAGGCGGCCUGCUAAGCCUGGAGUGAAAGGGACCGGCUCCA
Molecule: ribosomal RNA, 285 nt
Filed under: uncultured bacterium
Lineage: Bacteria
Description: partial 16S ribosomal RNA
Rfam family: Bacterial small subunit ribosomal RNA
Source: RNAcentral